Molecule: long non-coding RNA, 334 nt
Organism: Cydia strobilella
Lineage: Eukaryota; Metazoa; Arthropoda; Insecta; Lepidoptera; Tortricidae
Exons: 3
Source: RefSeq, a predicted model, not a curated record
UUAAGGUUGCCAGAGCUCAACGAGGGAGAGGAUGUUAGGGUCGGCAACGCGCAUGUAACUCCUCUGGAGUUGCAGGCGUACAUAGACUACGGAGACUGCUUAACAGCAGGCGGGCCGUAUGCUUGUUUGCCACCGACGUAGUAUUAAAAAAAGGUAGUAAAGGAAAGCAGGCUUAGAUGGUACGGCCACAUUAUGAGACGAGAUGAUCAUUUCUCAGUUAAAUCCGUCCUAAAUAUCCCCACUAAAUCCUUGGGAAGAGGAAGACCUCCCGACACAUGGUGGUCCAAUAUCAAGCGGGAGAUGAAAGCCCAGAACCUUACCCCUAUGACAACCC